RNAcentral lists this ribosomal RNA (581 nucleotides) under Shewanella sp. RNAcentral's name for it is "bacterial SSU rRNA". It matches the Rfam family "Bacterial small subunit ribosomal RNA", at positions 348 to 922 of the family's 1533-position model. The record is from RNAcentral. Lineage: Bacteria; Pseudomonadati; Pseudomonadota; Gammaproteobacteria; Alteromonadales; Shewanellaceae.
GCAGCAGUGGGGAUAUUGCACAAUGGGGGAAACCCUGAUGCAGCCAUGCCGCGUGUGUGAAGAAGGCCUUCGGGUUGUAAAGCACUUUCAGUAGGGAGGAAAGGGUGUAGUUUAAUACGCUAUAUCUGUGACGUUACCUACAGAAGAAGGACCGGCUAACUCCGUGCCAGCAGCCGCGGUAAUACGGAGGGUCCGAGCGUUAAUCGGAAUUACUGGGCGUAAAGCGUGCGCAGGCGGUUUGUUAAGCGAGAUGUGAAAGCCCUGGGCUCAACCUAGGAAUAGCAUUUCGAACUGGCGAACUAGAGUCUUGUAGAGGGGGGUAGAAUUCCAGGUGUAGCGGUGAAAUGCGUAGAGAUCUGGAGGAAUACCGGUGGCGAAGGCGGCCCCCUGGACAAAGACUGACGCUCAUGCACGAAAGCGUGGGGAGCAAACAGGAUUAGAUACCCUGGUAGUCCACGCCGUAAACGAUGUCUACUCGGAGUUUGGUGUCUUGAACACUGGGCUCUCAAGCUAACGCAUUAAGUAGACCGCCUGGGGAGUACGGCCGCAAGGUUAAAACUCAAAUGAAUUGACGGGGCCCG